Molecule: ribosomal RNA, 497 nt
Filed under: uncultured bacterium
Lineage: Bacteria
Description: partial 16S ribosomal RNA
Rfam family: Bacterial small subunit ribosomal RNA
Source: RNAcentral
GAUGAACGCUAGCGGCGUGCCUAAUACAUGCAAGUCGAGCGAACAGACGAGGAGCUUGCUCCUCUGUCGUUAGCCGCGGACGUGUGAGUAACACGUGGAUACCCUACCUAUAAGACUGGGAUAACUUCGGGACACCGGCGCAAAUCCCGGAUAAUAUAUUGAACCGCAUGGUUCAUUAGUGAAAGUCGGCUUUUCUGUCUCUUAUCGCUGGUUCCCGGCCGCUUGAGCUAGUUGGUAGGUUAACGGCUUACGACGGCGACGAGGCGUAGCCGACGUGAGAGGGGGAUCGGCGACAUGGGAACUGAGACGCGGUCCAGGCUCCUACGGGAGGCAGCAGUAGGGAAUCUUCCGCAAUGGGCGAAAGCCUGACGGAGCAACGCCGCGUGAGAGAUGAAGGUCUUCGGAUCGUAAAGCUCUGUUAUUAGGGAAGAACAAAUGUGGAAGUAACUAUGCACGUCUUGACGGUAACUAAUCAGAAAGCCACGGCUAACUACGUG